GCGCCUGUAGCUCAACUAGGACAGAGCAGGGGCGUCCUAAGCCCUUUGUUGGAGGUUCAACUCCUCUCAGGCGCG
RNAcentral lists this transfer RNA (75 nucleotides) under Pseudomonadota bacterium. RNAcentral describes it as "tRNA-Arg". It matches the Rfam family "tRNA". From Rfam's summary of the family: Transfer RNA (tRNA) molecules are approximately 80 nucleotides in length. Their secondary structure includes four short double-helical elements and three loops (D, anti-codon, and T loops). Further hydrogen bonds mediate the characteristic L-shaped molecular structure. tRNAs have two regions of fundamental functional importance: the anti-codon, which is responsible for specific mRNA codon recognition, and the 3' end, to which the tRNAs corresponding amino acid is attached (by aminoacyl-tRNA synthetases). tRNAs cope with the degeneracy of the genetic code in two manners: having more than one tRNA (with a specific anti-codon) for a particular amino acid; and 'wobble' base-pairing, i.e. permitting non-standard base-pairing at the 3rd anti-codon position. RNAcentral also lists the same sequence under 1 other name. Lineage: Bacteria; Pseudomonadati; Pseudomonadota. The record is from RNAcentral.